UACGGAGGGUGCAAGCGUUAUCCGGAUUCAUUGGGCUUAAAGCGCGCGUAGGCGGGCCUGUAAGUCUGUGGUGAAAUCUCCCAGCUUAACUUGGAAACUGCCAUGGAUACUAUAUGUCUUGAAUGUUGUGGAGGUUAGCGGAAUAUGUCAUGUAGCGGUGAAAUGCAUAGAUAUGACAUAGAACACCAAUUGCGAAGGCAGCUGGCUACACAAAUAUUGACGCUGAGGCACGAAAGCGUGGGGAUCAAACAGG
RNAcentral lists this ribosomal RNA (253 nucleotides) under uncultured bacterium. Its description in RNAcentral is "partial 16S ribosomal RNA". It matches the Rfam family "Bacterial small subunit ribosomal RNA", at positions 524 to 776 of the family's 1533-position model. The record is from RNAcentral.